This 308-nucleotide long non-coding RNA is filed under the name Hordeum vulgare. RNAcentral describes it as "long non-coding RNA (HVUL_LNC020798)". The record is from RNAcentral. Lineage: Eukaryota; Viridiplantae; Streptophyta; Magnoliopsida; Poales; Poaceae.
GCACAGAUACACAGAGGCUUGACUCGUUUUGAGUCGGGUCGCUACACAACAACAACAACAACAACAAAAGCAAAAAAAUAACGACUACGAGGACGACAACGACGAUGACUACGAUGACGAAGACGACAACGAUGCUAACAACGACAAUCACGAGAACAACGACAGCAACCACAACAACAACAACAACGACAACAUCGACAACAACAAAAAACAACAACAAAAAACAACAACAACAACAACAACAAUAACAACAACAUAACAAACACGACAAUGACGACGACAACAACAAUGACGAUAACGACAACAAC